This 426-nucleotide ribosomal RNA is filed under the name uncultured prokaryote. RNAcentral describes it as "bacterial SSU rRNA". It matches the Rfam family "Bacterial small subunit ribosomal RNA", at positions 355 to 774 of the family's 1533-position model. The record is from RNAcentral.
UGGGGAAUCAUGGUCAAUGGGCGAAAGCCUGAACCUGCGACGCCGCGUGAGUGAUGAAGGUCGUAAGAUCGUAAAACUCUUUUCAGGGAUCUUAAAGCCUGUCUGUCAACAACAGGCAGGUCUGACUCUCCCUGGAAGAAGCCCCAGCCAACUACGUGCCAGCAGCUGCGGUAAUACGUAGGGGGGCGAGCGUUAUUCGGAAUUACUGGGUGUAAAGGGUAUGUAGGCGGCCCUUCAAGUCGCGUGUCAAAGUCCAGUGCUCAACGCUGGGUGUGCACGCGAUACUGACGGGCUUGAGGUCUGGAGAGGUGAGCGGAAUUCCCGGUGUAGUGGUAAAAUACGUAGAGAUCGGGAGGAACACCAGCGGCGCAGGCGGCUCACUAGACAGUUUCUGACGCGAAGAUACGAAAGCGUGGGGAGCAAACA